RNAcentral lists this ribosomal RNA (777 nucleotides) under uncultured Neocallimastigales. Its description in RNAcentral is "partial large subunit ribosomal RNA". It matches the Rfam family "Eukaryotic large subunit ribosomal RNA", at positions 24 to 630 of the family's 3401-position model. The record is from RNAcentral. Lineage: Eukaryota; Fungi; Neocallimastigomycota; Neocallimastigomycetes; Neocallimastigales.
UAUGUGAUCGUCUCUCGCAUAUCAAUAAGCGGAGGAAAAGAAACUAACAAGGAUUCCCCUAGUAACGGCGAGUGAAGCGGGAAGAGCUCGAAUUUGAAAUCUUAAAGGGUUUCCCUUUACGAAUUGUAGUUUAAAGAAGUGUUUUCUGUUGAGGUUUUGGUAAAAGUUCUUUGGAAUAGGACAUCAUAGAGGGUGAGAAUCCCGUAUUUGACCUUUACCUUCAACUUUGUGAUACACUUUCAAAGAGUCGGAUUGUUUGGGAAUGCAGUCCAAAAUGGGUGGUAAAUUUCAUCUAAAGCUAAAUAUUGGCGAGAGACCGAUAGCGAACAAGUACCGUGAGGGAAAGAUGAAAAGAACUCUGAAAAGAGAGUUAAACAGUACGUGAAAUUGUCAAAAGGGAAGCGUUUGACACCAGUGUUGUUUUUCUGAAAAUCAAUUAAAGAACUGUUUAUGCUAAGCUGUUUAGACUUUAUCAGCUAAUCUGUUUAGUUUUGAGCUUUUCUUUAAUGCACUUUUCAGGUUAACAAGUCAACAUCAAUUUCUUUUGCUGUAAAAAAGCUUGAGGAAGGUGGCUUGAGAUUCGUCUUAAGUGUUUAUAGCCUCUUGCCUAUGCAGUCGGAGAGAUUGAGGUCCUGCAGCGUAGAUCCUUCGGGGCUAAAUGCAUUUGUGCUAAGUUAUAGCAUUUUAUAGACAACUUGUUGACUAUGAUUUGUCUUGUAGCUUACUCGCUUAUGUUAUUUUACCUACGCUUAGGAUGUUGAUAUGCAUGACUGAUAU